RNAcentral lists this ribosomal RNA (497 nucleotides) under uncultured bacterium. RNAcentral describes it as "partial 16S ribosomal RNA". It matches the Rfam family "Bacterial small subunit ribosomal RNA", at positions 28 to 507 of the family's 1533-position model. The record is from RNAcentral.
GAUGAACGCUGGCGGCGUGCCUAAUACAUGCAAGUAGAACGCUGAAGCUUAGUUCUUGCACCGAGCGGGUGAGUGGCGGACGGGUGAGUAACGGGUAGGUAACCGGCCUUGUAGCGGGGGAUAACGAUUGGAAACGAUAGCUAAUACCGCAUGACAACGGGUAUGGCAUGAUAACUGGUUAAAAGUGGCAAUUGCUCCACUACCAGAUGGACCUGCGUUGUAUUAGCUAGUUGGUGAGGUAACGGCUCACCAAGGCGACGAUACAUAGCCGGCCUUAGAGGGUGAUCGGCCGACCUGGGAGUGAGACACGGGCCAGACUUCCACGGGAAGCAGCAGUAGGGAAACUUCGGACAUAGACGGAAGUCUGACCGAGCCCCGCCGCGUGAGUGAAGAAGGGUUUCGGAUCGUAAAGGUCCGUUGAAAGAGAAGAACGAGUGUGAGAGUGGAAAGUUCCCACUGUGACGGUAUCUGACCAGAAAGGGACGGCUAACUACGUG